Pseudophryne corroboree (corroboree frog) is the source of this 425-nucleotide long non-coding RNA. RefSeq lists it as uncharacterized. NCBI's taxonomy places the organism in Eukaryota, Metazoa, Chordata, Amphibia, Anura, Myobatrachidae. The record is from RefSeq and is a predicted model, not a curated record. The transcript has 3 exons.
UGCAAUACCGAGGCAGGAAAGAAGUAGCAAGGGAGGGAGAAUAAAGAAGGAAUGUAGGACACAGAUGGCGAUAAGAUUUGUUCCAAUCUCUGCAAGACAACAACCCUAAACAUACAGCCAAUGUCAAUAAGAACUAUCUUCAACGUAAAGAAGAACAAGGAGUCCUGGAAGUGAUGAUAUAGCCCCACAGAGCACUGAUCUCAUCAUCGAGUCUGUCUGGGAUUACAUGAAGAGACAGAAGGAUUUGAGCAAGCCUACAUCCACGGAAGAUCUGUGGUUAUUUCUCCAAGGUGUUUGGAACAACCUCCCUGCCGAGUUCCUUCAAAAACUGUGUGCAAGUGUACCUAGAAUUGAUGCUGUUUUGAAGGCAAAGGGGUGGUCACGCCAAAUAUUGAUAUGAUUUAGAUUUCUCUUCUGUUCAUUCA